CACACGACUCUCGGCAACGGAUAUCUCGGCUCUCGCUUCGAUGAAGAACGUAGCGAAAUGCGAUACCUGGUGUGAAUUGCAGAAUCCCGCGAACCAUCGAGUCUUUGAACGCAAGUUGCGCCCGAGGCCACUCGGCCGAGGGCACGCCUGCCUGGGCGUCACGC
RNAcentral lists this ribosomal RNA (164 nucleotides) under Thinopyrum intermedium. Its description in RNAcentral is "5.8S ribosomal RNA". It matches the Rfam family "5.8S ribosomal RNA". From Rfam's summary of the family: 5.8S ribosomal RNA (5.8S rRNA) is a component of the large subunit of the eukaryotic ribosome. It is transcribed by RNA polymerase I as part of the 45S precursor that also contains 18S and 28S rRNA. The record is from RNAcentral. Lineage: Eukaryota; Viridiplantae; Streptophyta; Magnoliopsida; Poales; Poaceae.